This is a long non-coding RNA of Hypanus sabinus (Atlantic stingray), 243 nucleotides long. RefSeq lists it as uncharacterized. The transcript has 4 exons. Lineage: Eukaryota; Metazoa; Chordata; Chondrichthyes; Myliobatiformes; Dasyatidae. The record is from RefSeq and is a predicted model, not a curated record.
GCUGGAGCAGCCCACAAAGGAUUCUGGAAGAACACAGGCAGCAUCUAUGAGGAGGAAAGAACAGUGAAUGUUUCAGGCUGCUAAAAUAAUUCUGUAUGCCUGUGAAGCAGCUUCGGACAAUAAUGCUUUCAAGGCACUUCCUUAUUGUGUGGAACUCUUUGAAGUUUCAACAGCCAGAAAGAAACAGGCAGCUCAGUACAAUCUAGUCCUGCUUGAAAUGAUGGCGUCCUGUAUCCUUCUUCC